RNAcentral lists this ribosomal RNA (497 nucleotides) under uncultured bacterium. RNAcentral describes it as "partial 16S ribosomal RNA". It matches the Rfam family "Bacterial small subunit ribosomal RNA", at positions 28 to 507 of the family's 1533-position model. The record is from RNAcentral.
GAUGAACGCUGGCGGCGUGCCUAAUACAUGCAAGUCGAGCGAACAGACGAUGAUCUUGCUCCUCUGACGUUAGCGGCGGACGGGUGAGUAACACGUGUAUAACCUACCUAUAAUACUGGGAUAACUUCGGGAAACCGGAGCUAAUACCGGAGAAUAUAUUGAACCGCGGUGGUCGAUGGUGAAAUACGGUUGUUGUGUCUGUAAUAGCUGGAUCCGCGCCGCAUUAGAUAGUUGGUAAGGUAACGGCUUACCAAGGGGACGAUGCGUAGGCGACCUGAGAGGGUGAUAGGCGACACGAGAACUGAGACACGGUCAAGACUCCUAAGGGACGCAGCAGUAGGGUAUCUUACGCAGUGGGCGAAAGCAUGACGCAGCAACGCCGAGCGAGUGAUGACGGUCUUCGGAUCGUAAAACUCUGUUAUGAGGGAAGAACAAAUGUGUAAGUAAAUAUGCACGUCUUGACGGUAACUAAUCAGAAAGCAACGGCUAACUACGUG